CAGGGGAGCGCGCGCGGGGAAACUGGGGCGUCGGUCACGUGGCCGCGCCGCCGCGUUCCUUCCGUCAGCCAUUUUAGGUUGGGAUCAUCGAGGCGGCGCCAUUAAAGUGUGAGAAAGGAGGGAAAAGACCAAAGAGCCCGCGCUUCGCCGCAACGCAGCUGGCGCCGCCGCUGAAGAGCUGACGGACUCGCGAUCCGGCAGUUCCCCCAUCGCAGGAUCCCGCCUUCCCCUAGUAAUAAUAAUUCUCCUGCGCUUCUCCUCUUCGUGAGAGAACCGGCCGACCAAGUCUACGCGACGGCCACCAUGUCGGACCAGCAGUUUACCGGAGAUGCCGCUGCUGCGGAGGCUUCGGAACAGGCCGAACAAGUGGAAGGAGCCGCGGGCGAUGGAGACAACGACGCGGAAGGGGGAGGCGGUGGAGGAGGAGGUGGCGGCUCCGGCGAGUCGGAGGGAGCCAAAAUUGACGCGAGCAAGAAUGAGGAAGAUGAAGGGAAAAUGUUUAUUGGAGGCCUUAGCUGGGAUACUACAAAGAAAGAUCUUAAAGAUUACUUCACGAAAUUUGGUGAGGUUGUAGACUGCACCCUGAAGUUGGAUCCUAUAACAGGACGGUCAAGAGGCUUCGGCUUUGUGUUGUUCAAGGAAUCGGAGAGUGUAGACAAGGUCAUGGAUCAGAAAGAGCACAAACUGAAUGGUAAAGUGAUUGAUCCUAAAAGAGCUAAAGCAAUGAAAACAAAAGAGCCAGUUAAAAAGAUUUUUGUUGGUGGCUUAUCUCCAGAUACACCUGAAGAGAAAAUAAGGGAAUACUUUGGAGGUUUUGGUGAGGUGGAAUCAAUAGAACUUCCAAUGGACAACAAAACCAACAAACGCCGUGGAUUUUGUUUCAUUACUUUCAAAGAAGAAGAACCAGUUAAGAAGAUUAUGGAGAAAAAAUACCACAACGUUGGUCUCAGUAAAUGUGAAAUAAAAGUAGCAAUGUCAAAAGAACAGUAUCAGCAGCAACAGCAGUGGGGAACUCGAGGGGGAUUUGCUGGAAGAGCUCGUGGCAGAGGUGGAGGCCCCAGUCAAAGCUGGAACCCGGGAUACAGUAAUUACUGGAAUCAGGGGUAUGGCAGCUACGGUGGAUACAACAGCCAAGGGUAUGGUGGCUACGGAGGUUAUGACUACACUGGCUACAACAACUAUUAUGGAUAUGGGGAUUAUAGCAAUCAGCAGAGUGGUUAUGGGAAGAUAUCUCGGCGAGGAGGUCAUCAAAAUAGCUACAAACCGUACUAAAUUAUUCCAAUGGCAGCCCAUCCCAAACAGCGGGAACUUCCUUGCAGGCCCUGUGUCGCGCUGACUUCCCGAUUCUCACAGGCCCGCUCAAUGCGGACAGGGUACGAGAUGCUCACGCUCUCGAAUGCUGCCGUUUGGUGGACAAGCAGUAUUCUCAUUUGAAGAUUCAUUUUGAGGUGGCUCAUGCUGCCUGCUAAUAGCAGUUCAAACUAAAUUUUUUGUAUCAAGUCCCUGAAUUGGAAGUAAGAUGUUGGUCCCUCUGAAGUUUGAUUGUGUUCUCAUUACAACAGAAUUGCUUUCACCGUCUUUUUUUUUUUUAAUUGCUAUGCUUAAGAAUCAAUUUGAUUUAUGCCCACGCCCAUUUGUUCCCCAGUAUUGUAGAGCAAGUCUUGUGUUUAAAGCCCAGUGUGACAGUGUCAUGAUGUAGUAGUGUCUUA
This is an RNA transcript of Rhineura floridana, 1709 nucleotides long. It is a transcript of the gene named heterogeneous nuclear ribonucleoprotein D, with no coding region annotated. The transcript has 9 exons. The record is from RefSeq and is a predicted model, not a curated record. Lineage: Eukaryota; Metazoa; Chordata; Lepidosauria; Squamata; Rhineuridae.